UACGUAGGGGGCAAGCGUUGUCCGGAUUUAUUGGGCGUAAAGAGCUCGUAGGCGGCUCGGUAAGUCAGGUGUGAAAACUCUAGGCUCAACCUAGAGACGCCACCUGAUACUGCCGUGGCUAGAGUCCGGUAGGGGAGCAUGGAAUUCCUGGUGUAGCGGUGAAAUGCGCAGAUAUCAGGAGGAACACCAGUGGCGAAGGCGGUGCUCUGGGCCGGAACUGACGCUGAGGAGCGAAAGCGUGGGGAGCAAACAGG
This 254-nucleotide ribosomal RNA is filed under the name uncultured bacterium. RNAcentral's name for it is "partial 16S ribosomal RNA". It matches the Rfam family "Bacterial small subunit ribosomal RNA", at positions 524 to 776 of the family's 1533-position model. The record is from RNAcentral.